RNAcentral lists this ribosomal RNA (472 nucleotides) under uncultured bacterium. Its description in RNAcentral is "bacterial SSU rRNA". It matches the Rfam family "Bacterial small subunit ribosomal RNA", at positions 917 to 1382 of the family's 1533-position model. The record is from RNAcentral.
GGGCUCACACAAGCGGUGGAGCAUGUGGUUCAAUUCGAAGCAACGCGCAGAACCUUACCUGGGCUUGACAUGCUAGGAUUAUCCCUAUGAAAGUAGGGUAGGCCCUUCGGGGUACAACUAGUACAGGUGCUGCAUGGCUGUCGUCAGCUCGUGUCGUGAGAUGUCGGGUUAAGUCCCAUAACGAGCGAAACCUUUGCCCUUAGUUACCAGCGGGUUAUGCCGGGGACUCUAAGGGGACUGCCGGUGUCAAACCGGAGGAAGGUGGAGAUGACGUCAAGUCCUCAUGGCCUUUAUGCCCAGGGCCACACACGUGCUACAAUGGGAUGGACAAAGCGAACCUAAACCGCAAGGUGGUGGAAAUCGCAAAAAUCAUCCCCCAGUUCAGAUCGGAGGCUGCAACUCGCCUCCGUGAAGUUGGAAUCGCUAGUAAUCGCGGAUCAGCUACGCCGCGGUGAAUGUGUUCCUGAGCCUU